This 70-nucleotide ribosomal RNA is filed under the name Babesia gibsoni. Its description in RNAcentral is "large subunit ribosomal RNA LSU5". The record is from RNAcentral. Lineage: Eukaryota; Apicomplexa; Aconoidasida; Piroplasmida; Babesiidae.
UGAGUAAAAUUUAGUGAAGGAACUUGACAGGUAUAAAUAUUAUAUAUAUAUGUUAUAUUGAAAAAUGUUU